Molecule: long non-coding RNA, 1432 nt
Filed under: Mytilus galloprovincialis (Mediterranean mussel)
Lineage: Eukaryota; Metazoa; Mollusca; Bivalvia; Mytilida; Mytilidae
Source: RNAcentral
ACAAAAAAUCAGUGACAGCGCCUGGUAAAAUGUUCAAAGCUCAUGGGCUAAAGGCUGGCACUGAAUACAAGUUCCAGUUAUCUGCCAGUUCUGCAGAUGGAGAAAGCAAACUUGGCGAUCCACUAUUCAUACGCACUCUGAAAGACCGUAAGUAUAAACAUAAGUUUCUUGUUUUAAGAACAUGCAUUACCCUUUGUAUAUCGUACUGAACACAUGAUACAGUUUGUUCUUUUUUAAAACACAUUUACAGUAAAUUAAAUGUGGACUAACACUAAGAUAACUCUACGGUCUAUGUUUUAUACAUUAUAAAUUCAGAACCUUUAGUGAGUAAGCAAAAGGGGGAAAGACUUGUCUGAUGUUUUUUCCUGUUUAUUUAAGAAAUUAUUCAUUUCUUACAUAAUUUAUGACAGUUAUAUUGUCUUUCACACUAGCUUUUGGUAACAUUAGCCUAAGACUUCAAAAAUCAAUCUUCUACUUGUUACAAAUAUGCUUAGCUCUGAAAUUGGCAAAUAAAGUUUACAUUAGAAAUAAACGUCCUUUUUUAUAUGAUAAAAUCGUAGAUGAAUAUAAAUAGUUUAUAUAGAGUAUGAUUUCCGUGCUCACACCAGGUGUUUCAUGGAUGAUCUCAACCAGAUAGCUCCGUACCAUAUGUUUAGAUAGGCAAAAAAUAAAACGCCUGGGAUCUUAAAAAUCCAAGAUGGUGUUAACAGAAUAGACAUAACUAAAGGUCAACUUUACCUUGGGUAUUCCAUUGUGUUUGUUGUAUAAUUAUAUAUACUAUGAACAGAAAGUGAUCAGACAAAAGCUUGCAUUUAAAUUACAAGCCAUUACAUUUUGGCCUAAGAUCAAAUGUUUGGAAGGCCCAACGCCACCUACUAUACUGGAGAAUAAAAAUCAGAAGAUCUAAAUAGAAACGACAUUCUAUAUAAUGUUAACUCGAUGACGGCAUUGAAUUCUAUCAUAACCUUCAUCGGGAGCGCCAAGACCAAAUGGAUUUAAAGCAAAUCUUAUAAAACUAAAACAGCAUAAAACAAAAAUGGUGUAAGCAGAAAAAACAAGGGUAAACUUUUCAUUGGUUUGCAAACGUAGAUGAAAAAUAUAAUUCUUGAAGAGGAAUCUAACAAAAGAAAGAAAAAAUAGAAAUUUAUGUCAUUUCGGAAGCAGCGGCGACUACAAGCGGAUAAUUAUGACCUUUCGGAUUGAUAGUCCACACCAACUUUUAAACCGAUGAAAUUCAAAUCUGUGAAUUUUGUGAUUAGAAAUAUUUUAUAGUGCCACAUAUUCUGGUUUUUUUUUUUAUUAUUUCAGAGAAAACAGAGUGAAGAGAUGUGUUUUGAAAACACUAGACGAUGAUAGUUAAUUUUUAUUUUUAUUUUUUUAAGCAAGUCACACCAAUUAUGUUUGAAGACAUAUUAAAUAGUAUUGUAUAGUG